Molecule: long non-coding RNA, 735 nt
Filed under: Gallus gallus (chicken)
Lineage: Eukaryota; Metazoa; Chordata; Aves; Galliformes; Phasianidae
Source: RNAcentral
CUAUAUAUUGAUUAUCUUUUUAGAAAUCUUUCUUAAACUGAGCUAUUUCAUUUUUAAAAUGAUGUGACACCAAGUGAUAAUGUGGCAUGCUGCUCCCUGGAUACCCAAUGGGCCCUUUUAAAGUGCAGUGAUAGCUCAUGGAGUUACUACACCUGUGAUUUCUUUAUUACCUAAUUAGACCAGCUAUUUUUGUUUUACCGCACUAUUUCCCAUUCAUCACUUGAGCCAAGGGAAUGUAGCUCACCGAAAUAGUUCACCCCUCUUACCAUGAGAUUUCUCUUAAUUCUACAUAAAUACUGUAGGGAGUGAGUAAUACACAAUGGUUUCCUACAGCAAUAACCAACGUAUCCCAUGAGUUUUCCACAGUCUCUUUCAAGUUAAUAUGCAACAGUAGGGUUUGGAGAAAAAAGUGCAUUACUUUUGGAGAUUAAUUUAAUGCACUUACAUAGGAUCCUAACUGGAAGUGCAGCUGUGUAAUUUAUUUUGUUAAAACAGCCCUGUUAUUCCUCUAGAUAUUCAGUUGUCAAGUAAAGGAUGAUAAUACCAACUGCACUUGCACUUGUUUUAUUCCACUCUUGCCUUUGUCUCCCCUGGGACUGAUCUAUCGUAAUCUAUCAUGCACACAGGAUUUUUUUCUUUUUUUCUUCUUCUUUUUUUUUUUAAUGCAUUUGCAAGAAAAUCCAUUAAGUAGAGCUAUUUUAAAGACCUUUAACAUAGUGGCAUAUUCUCCUCUUA